AUGAACGCUGGCGGCGUGCCUAAUACAUGCAAGUCGAGCGAACAGACGAGGAGCUUGCUCCUCUGACGUUAGCGGCGGACGGGUGAGUAACACGUGGAUAACCUACCUAUAAGACUGGGAUAACUUCGGGAAACCGGAGCUAAUACCGGAUAAUAUAUUGAACCGCAUGGUUCAAUAGUGAAAGACGGUUUUGCUGUCACUUAUAGAUGGAUCCGCGCCGCAUUAGCUAGUUGGUAAGGUAACGGCUUACCCAGGCAACGAUGCGUAGCCGACCUGAGAGGGUGAUCGGCCACACUGGAACUGAGACACGGUCCAGACUCCUACGGGAGGCAGCAGUAGGGAAUCUUCCGCAAUGGGCGAAAGCCUGACGGAGCAACGCCGCGUGAGUGAUGAAGGUCUUCGGAUCGUAAAACUCUGUUAUUAGGGAAGAACAAAUGUGUAAGUAACUAUGCACGUCUUGACGGUACCUAAUCAGAAAGCCACGGCUAACUACGUG
RNAcentral lists this ribosomal RNA (496 nucleotides) under uncultured bacterium. RNAcentral's name for it is "partial 16S ribosomal RNA". It matches the Rfam family "Bacterial small subunit ribosomal RNA", at positions 29 to 507 of the family's 1533-position model. The record is from RNAcentral.